RNAcentral lists this ribosomal RNA (498 nucleotides) under uncultured bacterium. Its description in RNAcentral is "partial 16S ribosomal RNA". It matches the Rfam family "Bacterial small subunit ribosomal RNA", at positions 899 to 1397 of the family's 1533-position model. The record is from RNAcentral.
ACUCAAAUGAAUUGACGGGGGCCCGCACAAGCAGCGGAGCAUGUGGUUUAAUUCGAAGCAACGCGAAGAACCUUACCAGGACUUGACAUCCUAAGAAUCCUUAAGAGAUUAGGGAGUGCCCUUCGGGGAACUUAGAGACAGGUGGUGCAUGGUUGUCGUCAGCUCGUGUCGUGAGAUGUUGGGUUAAGUCCCGCAACGAGCGCAACCCCUAUUGUUAGUUGCUACCAUUAAGUUGAGCACUCUAGCGAGACUGCCGAGGUUAACUCGGAGGAAGGUGGGGAUGACGUCAAAUCAUCAUGCCCUUUAUGUCCUGGGCUACACACGUGCUACAAUGGCCGGUACAGAGAGAUGCAAGACCGCGAGGUGGAGCAAAUCUAUAAAACCGGUCCCAGUUCGGAUUGUAGGCUGCAACUCGCCUACAUGAAGCCGGAGUUGCUAGUAAUCGCAGAUCAGAAUGCUGCGGUGAAUACGUUCCCGGGCCUUGUACACACCGCCCGU